This 331-nucleotide ribosomal RNA is filed under the name Haemopis sanguisuga. Its description in RNAcentral is "eukaryotic LSU rRNA". It matches the Rfam family "Eukaryotic large subunit ribosomal RNA", at positions 656 to 957 of the family's 3401-position model. The record is from RNAcentral. Lineage: Eukaryota; Metazoa; Annelida; Clitellata; Hirudinida; Haemopidae.
GAAACACGGACCAAGGAGUCUAACACGUGCGCGAGUCGCAGGGUUGUACGAAACCCGAGGGCGUAACGAAAGUGAAACGGAUCUUCGGAUCUACAGGUGGGAUCCCGAAGCACACGUGCGACGGGCGCACCACCGGCCUGUCUCGGCCGCCACGUCGGCGAGGCGGAGCAAGAGCGUACGCGUUGGGACCCGAAAGAUGGUGAACUAUGCCUGAGCAGGAUGAAGCCAGAAGAAAUUCUGGUGGAAGUCCGCAGCGAUUCUGACGUGCAAAUCGAUCGUCAAACUUGGGUAUAGGGGCGAAAGACUAAUCGAACCAUCUAGUAGCUGGUUC